CCUACGGGAGGCAGCAGUAGGGAAUAUUGCUCAAUGGGGGAAACCCUGAAGCAGCAACGCCGCGUGGAGGAUGAAGGUUUUAGGAGUGGAAACUCCUUUUGUUAGAGAAGAUAAGGACGGUAUCUAACGAAUAAGCACCGGCUAAUUCCGUGCCAGCAGCCGCGGUAAUACGGAGGGUGCAAGCGUUACCCGGAAUCACUGGGCGUAAAGAGCGCGUAGGGGGGUUAGCAAGUCAGAUGUGAAAUCCUAUGGCUUAACCAUAGAACUGCAUUUGAAACUGUUAUUCUUGAGUAUAGGUGAGGUAGGUGGAAUUCUUGGUGUAGGGGUAAAAUCCGUAGAGAUCACGAGGAAUACUCAUUGCGAAGGCGACCUGCUAAAACACCACUGACAUUGAUGCGCGAAAGCGUGGGUAGCAAACAGGAUUAGAUACCCCAGUAGUC
RNAcentral lists this ribosomal RNA (440 nucleotides) under uncultured bacterium. RNAcentral describes it as "partial 16S ribosomal RNA". It matches the Rfam family "Bacterial small subunit ribosomal RNA", at positions 338 to 795 of the family's 1533-position model. The record is from RNAcentral.